AUGAACGCUGGCGGCGUGCCUAAUACAUGCAAGUCGAGCGAACGGACGAGAAGCUUGCUUCUCUGAUGUUAGCGGCGGACGGGUGAGUAACACGUGGAUAACCUACCUAUAAGACUGGGAUAAUUUCGGGAAACCGGAGCUAAUACCGGAUAAUAUUUUGAACCGCAUGGUUCAAAAGUGAAAGACGGUCUUGCUGUCACUUAUAGAUGGAUCCGCGCUGCAUUAGCUAGUUGGUAAGGUAACGGCUUACCAAGGCAACGAUGCAUAGCCGACCUGAGAGGGUGAUCGGCCACACUGGAACUGAGACACGGUCCAGACUCCUACGGGAGGCAGCAGUAGGGAAUCUUCCGCAAUGGGCGAAAGCCUGACGGAGCAACGCCGCGUGAGUGAUGAAGGUCUUCGGAUCGUAAAACUCUGUUAUUAGGGAAGAACAUAUGUGUAAGUAACUGUGCACAUCUUGACGGUACCUAAUCAGAAAGCCACGGCUAACUACGU
RNAcentral lists this ribosomal RNA (495 nucleotides) under uncultured bacterium. RNAcentral's name for it is "partial 16S ribosomal RNA". It matches the Rfam family "Bacterial small subunit ribosomal RNA", at positions 29 to 506 of the family's 1533-position model. The record is from RNAcentral.